Asparagus officinalis (garden asparagus) is the source of this 1094-nucleotide long non-coding RNA. RefSeq lists it as uncharacterized. The transcript has 2 exons. The record is from RefSeq and is a predicted model, not a curated record. NCBI's taxonomy places the organism in Eukaryota, Viridiplantae, Streptophyta, Magnoliopsida, Asparagales, Asparagaceae.
UUUUUCUUUUUCAACUGGCUAGCUUCUUCUUCUACUUCUUCAACUGAAAUCUUCUUCUUCAACCGAGAGCUUCUUCUUCAAGGAGUUGGAGAGAGAGUUUUCUUUGCUGAAAAAUAGCAGGAUUCCAAGAUGAUGAAGAACCUUGAGCUCUGAUACCAGUGAUUGAAAACAGAGAAGAGAAAAGAUGAUAUCCUUGAAGGGGGGCUCCGGUAAUGGUUUGAUUCCGUGGCUUGGCACGCACAACUUAAUCUGACGUGAUCCAGCGACGUCAGUUUCUGGAGUAUCAGUCCAAGGAGAUCCAUCGGAAGCCCUCUCCGAUCUUUCUCGGCCAUUUUGUGGAAGGUCUGUGCCUCUUAAAACCAGCAGCAUAGAUACACACACGCUCAACGAUGAAGAGGUUUUGACGAGUUCAAUAGGUUACUGAUACAAAGUUUGGCAACAGCCUGUUCCUGAUGUAGUAGUGAUUAGGAUUAGGAUGUUUUAUUUAAUUUAAUCUAACUCCUAUAAUAGUUAUUUAUUUUUAAUCGUAUUCCUGCAGUAGCGAUAGUUUGGAUUAGGGUCAUGUGGUUUAUUAAUUCAACCCUAUUCAUUUGUUAACGAAACUACUCGAAGCCAAAACAACAAAAGGAAGCCAGCAUAUGCAAAAAUAAAAAAAGAGAAAGAAAAGGGUUUAUUUGCAAACCUGCAUCGUAAAUAGGAGGCGUGAACAUUGUGGGUGGCUGGCGAGGAAAAAAAUUUUCGUGGUGGUUUUCGAAAAGAAGACGGCGGUGCAGAGCUCAGGCGGUGACGGGAUACCUCGCUGGCACUUGAGGAGGAAGACAUUAUUGGAUGCACACUUAGGGUGAUAACUUUGCAUAGACAUUUUCUGCCUUCUUUAUUGGGCAUCGAAUCGAAAAUUUAAGGGCCUGCUAAUGAGGGUAAAUGGGCUGACCCAUGUAGUGCCAAAUUUCUACAACAUUUUAAUUUUAUUUUAUUUUAUUUUAUUUUUGGACAAAGGGCUUAGGUAGGCCUUGCGAUCAUAUGCCCGUACCGAUUUCAGUUCUUCUAGGAGAUUUGUCAAUUACAAUCCCGUAUCUUGAGGUAUGGUAUAAUUA